This 1244-nucleotide ribosomal RNA is filed under the name metagenome. Its description in RNAcentral is "bacterial LSU rRNA". It matches the Rfam family "Bacterial large subunit ribosomal RNA", at positions 1564 to 2817 of the family's 2925-position model. The record is from RNAcentral.
UGAAUACGAGACGCUAAGGCGUCGAAGUAGUGUAUGUCAUACUUCCAAGAAAAGCUUGCACUGUCAUAGAUAAAAAACGCCUGUACCAUAACCGACACAGGUGGGUAGGUAGAGUAUACUAAGGGGCGCGAGAUAACUCUCUCUAAGGAACUCGGCAAAAUAACUCCGUAACUUCGGGAGAAGGAGUGCCUUAUUCGUAAGGUUGCAAUAACAAGAUCCAAGCAACUGUUUAUCAAAAACACAGGUCUCCGCUAAGUCGUAAGACGAUGUAUGGGGGCUGACGCCUGCCCAGUGCCAGAAGGUUAAAGAAGUUGGUUAGCAAUUGCGAAGCUGAUAACUGAAGCCCUGGUGAACGGCGGCCGUAACAAUAACGGUCCUAAGGUAGCGAAAUUCCUUGUCGGGUAAGUUCCGACCCGCACGAAAGGCGUAAUGAUUUGGAUACUGUCUCGGAGAGGGGCUCGGUGAAAUAGACUUGUCUGUGAAGAUGCGGACUACCUGCACCAGGACAGAAAGACCCUAUGAAGCUUUACUGUAACUUGAAAUUGAAAUUGGACUUUAUUCGCGCAGUAUAGGUGGGAGGCGUUGAUUAUAAUCUUGUGGGAUUAUUGGAGCCAUCAGUGAGAUACCACUCUUGUAAUGUUAGAUUUCUAACUUUGAAUCAUUAUCUGGUCAAAGAACAGUUUCAGGCGGGCAGUUUGACUGGGGCGGUAGCCUCCUAAACGGUAACGGAGGCGUACAAAGGUUUCCUCUGAACGGUUAGAAAUCGUAUCUAGAGUGUAAAGGCAUAAGGAAGCUUGACUGUGAGACCUACAAGUCGAGCAGGGACGAAAGUCGGUCUUAGUGAUCUGACGGUACUGAGUGGAAAGGCCGUCACUCAACGGAUAAAAGUUACUCUAAGGAUAACAGGCUGAUCUCCCCCAAGAGUUCACAUCGACGGGGAGGUUUGGCACCUCGAUGUCGGCUCAUCGCAUCCUGGGGCGGUAGUACGUCCCAAGGGUUGGGCUGUUCGCCCAUGAAAGCGGUACGCGAGCUGGGUUCAGAACGUCGUGAGACAGUUCGGUCCAUAUCCGGUGUAGGCGUUAGAAUAUUGAGAGGAGCCUUCUUUAGUACGAGAGGACCGAGAAGGACAUACCUCUGGUGUACCAGUUAUCGUGCCAACGGUAAACGCUGGGUAGCUAUGUAUGGAGUGGAUAACCACUGGAAGCAUCUAAGUGGGAAGCCCACCUCAAGAUAAGUAUUCUCAC